Molecule: ribosomal RNA, 429 nt
Filed under: Actinomycetes bacterium
Lineage: Bacteria; Bacillati; Actinomycetota; Actinomycetes
Description: Actinobacteria bacterium partial 16S ribosomal RNA
Rfam family: Bacterial small subunit ribosomal RNA
Source: RNAcentral
UAGGGAAUCUUCCGCAAUGGGCGAAAGCCUGACGGAGCAACGCCGCGUGAGUGAUGAAGGUCUUCGGAUCGUAAAACUCUGUUAUUAGGGAAGAACAAAUGUGUAAGUAACUAUGCACGUCUUGACGGUACCUAAUCAGAAAGCCACGGCUAACUACGUGCCAGCAGCCGCGGUAAUACGUAGGUGGCAAGCGUUAUCCGGAAUUAUUGGGCGUAAAGCGCGCGUAGGCGGUUUUUUAAGUAUGAUGUGAAAGCCCACGGCUCAACCGGGGAGGGUCAUUGGAAACUGGAAAACUUGAGUGCAGAAGAGGAAAGUGGAAUUCCAUGUGUAGCGGUGAAAUGCGCAGAGAUAUGGAGGAACACCAGUGGCGAAGGCGACUUUCUGGUCUGUAACUGACGCUGAUGUGCGAAAGCGUGGGGAUCAAACAGG